Molecule: ribosomal RNA, 255 nt
Filed under: uncultured bacterium
Lineage: Bacteria
Description: partial 16S ribosomal RNA
Rfam family: Bacterial small subunit ribosomal RNA
Source: RNAcentral
UACGUAGGGGGCGAGCGUUGUCCGGAGUUACUGGGCGUAAAGGGCGUGCAGGCGGUGCGGUAAGUUUAGCGUGACAGUCUCCGGCUUAACUGGAGAAGGCCGCUGAAAACUGCUGGACUUGAGGGCCAGAGAGGGACAUAGAAUUCCGGGUGGAGUGGUGAAAUGCGUAGAUAUCCGGAGGAAUACCAAAGGCGAAGGCAGUGUCCUGGCUGGCAACUGACGCUGAGGCGCGAAAAGCUAGGGGGAGCGAACAGG